UACGAAGGGUGCAAGCGUUACUCGGAAUUACUGGGCGUAAAGCGUGCGUAGGUGGUUCGUUAAGUCUGAUGUGAAAGCCCUGGGCUCAACCUGGGAAUGGCAUUGGAUACUGGCGAUCUAGAGUGCGGUAGAGGGCAGUGGAAUUCCCGGUGUAGCAGUGAAAUGCGUAGAGAUCGGGAGGAACAUCUGUGGCGAAGGCGACUGCCUGGACCAGCACUGACACUGAGGCACGAAAGCGCGGGGAGCAAACAGG
RNAcentral lists this ribosomal RNA (253 nucleotides) under uncultured bacterium. RNAcentral's name for it is "partial 16S ribosomal RNA". It matches the Rfam family "Bacterial small subunit ribosomal RNA", at positions 524 to 776 of the family's 1533-position model. The record is from RNAcentral.